GAUGAAGAACGUAGCGAAAUGCGAUAAGUAAUGUGAAUUGCAGAAUUCAGUGAAUCAUCGAAUCUUUGAACGCACAUUGCGCCCGCCAGUAUUCUGGCGGGCAUGCCUGUUCGAGCGUCAUUACAACCCUCAGGCCCCCGGGCCUGGCGUUGGGGAUCGGCGGAGCCCCCCGUGGGCACACGCCGUCCCCCAAAUGCAGUGGCGGUCCCGCCGCAGCUUCCAUCGCGUAGUAGCUAACACCUCGCGACUGGAGAGCGGCGCGGCCACGCCGUAAAACACCCAACUCUUCUGGAGUUGACCUCGAAUCAGGUAGGAAUACCCGCUGAACUUAAGCAUAUCAAUAAGCGGAGGA
RNAcentral lists this unclassified non-coding RNA (352 nucleotides) under soil metagenome. RNAcentral describes it as "partial contains 5.8S ribosomal RNA, internal transcribed spacer 2, and large subunit ribosomal RNA". The stretch from base 1 to 120 matches the Rfam family "5.8S ribosomal RNA", at positions 35 to 154 of the family's 154-position model. The record is from RNAcentral.